This 480-nucleotide ribosomal RNA is filed under the name uncultured bacterium. RNAcentral's name for it is "partial 16S ribosomal RNA". It matches the Rfam family "Bacterial small subunit ribosomal RNA", at positions 29 to 507 of the family's 1533-position model. The record is from RNAcentral.
AUGAACGCUGGCGGCGUGCUUAACACAUGCAAGUCGAACGAAGCAUUUAGGACAGAUUACUUCGGUUUGAAGUUCUUUAUGACUGAGUGGCGGACGGGUGAGUAACGCGUGGGUAACCUGCCUUGUACUGGGGGAUAGCAGCUGGAAACGGCUGGUAAUACCGCAUAAGCGCACAAUGUUGCAUGACAUGGUGUGAAAAACUCCGGUGGUAUAAGAUGGACCCGCGUCUGAUUAGCUAGUUGGUGAGAUAACAGCCCACCAAGGCGACGAUCAGUAGCCGACCUGAGAGGGUGACCCGCCACAUUGGGACUGAGACACGGCCCAGACUCCUACGGGAGGCAGCAGUGGGGAAUAUUGCACAAUGGAGGAAACUCUGAUGCAGCGACGCCGCGUGAGUGAAGAAGUAAUUCGUUAUGUAAAGCUCUAUCAGCAGGGAAGAUAGUGACGGUACCUGACUAAGAAGCUCCGGCUAAAUACGUG